This 435-nucleotide ribosomal RNA is filed under the name uncultured Anaerolineaceae bacterium. RNAcentral describes it as "bacterial SSU rRNA". It matches the Rfam family "Bacterial small subunit ribosomal RNA", at positions 931 to 1382 of the family's 1533-position model. The record is from RNAcentral. Lineage: Bacteria; Bacillati; Chloroflexota; Anaerolineae; Anaerolineales; Anaerolineaceae.
AGCGGAGCGUGUGGUUUAAUUCGUUGCUACACGAAGAACCUUACCUGGGUUUGACAUAAUGGUGUAGGGAUCCGAAAGGUGACCGACCUUCGGGGAGCCAUUACAGGUGUUGCAUGGCUGUCGUCAGCUCGUGUCGUGAGAUGUUCGGUUAAGUCCGCUAACGAGCGCAACCCUCGCUGUGUGUUAUAUGUGUCACACAGGACUGCUGGUAUUAAGCCGGAGGAAGUGGGACGACGUCAAGUCAGCAUGACCUUUAUAUCCAGGGCUACACACACGCUACAAUGGUCAGUACAAUGGGUUGCCAGGCCGCGAGGCGGAGCCAAUCCUAAAAAGCUGGCCUCAGUUCAGAUUGCAGUCUGAAACUCGACUGCAUGAAGUCGGAGUUGCUAGUAAACGCAGGUCAGCUAUACUGCGUUGAAUACGUUCCCGGGGCUU